Molecule: ribosomal RNA, 480 nt
Filed under: Escherichia coli
Lineage: Bacteria; Pseudomonadati; Pseudomonadota; Gammaproteobacteria; Enterobacterales; Enterobacteriaceae
Description: bacterial SSU rRNA
Rfam family: Bacterial small subunit ribosomal RNA
Source: RNAcentral
AUUGAACGCUGCGGCAGGCCUAACACAUGCAAGUCGACGGUACCAGGAAGAAGCUUGCUUCUUUGCUGACGAGUGCGACGGGUGAGUAAUGUCUGGGAAACUGCCUGAUGGUAGUGGGAUAACUACUGGUAACGGUAGCUAAUUCCGCAUAACGUCGCAAGACCAAAGAGGGGGACCUUCGGGCCUCUUGCCAUCGGAUGUGCCCAAUGGGAUUAGCUAGUAGGUGCGGGUAACGGCUCACCUAGGCGACGAUCCCUAGCUGGUCUGAGAGGAUGACCAGCCACACUGGAACUGAGACUACGGUCCAGACUCCUACGGGAGGCAGCAGUGGGGAAUAUUGCACAAUGGGCGCAAGCCUGAUGCAGCCAUGCCGGCGUGUAUGAAGAAGGCCUUCGGGUUGUAAAGUACUUUCAGCGGGGAGGAAGGGAGUAAAGUUAAUACCUUUGCUCAUUGACGUUACCCGCAGAAGAAGCACCGGCU